RNAcentral lists this transfer RNA (70 nucleotides) under Vanmanenia hainanensis. RNAcentral describes it as "Homalosoma hainanensis tRNA-Pro". It matches the Rfam family "tRNA". Rfam says of the family: Transfer RNA (tRNA) molecules are approximately 80 nucleotides in length. Their secondary structure includes four short double-helical elements and three loops (D, anti-codon, and T loops). Further hydrogen bonds mediate the characteristic L-shaped molecular structure. tRNAs have two regions of fundamental functional importance: the anti-codon, which is responsible for specific mRNA codon recognition, and the 3' end, to which the tRNAs corresponding amino acid is attached (by aminoacyl-tRNA synthetases). tRNAs cope with the degeneracy of the genetic code in two manners: having more than one tRNA (with a specific anti-codon) for a particular amino acid; and 'wobble' base-pairing, i.e. permitting non-standard base-pairing at the 3rd anti-codon position. The record is from RNAcentral. Lineage: Eukaryota; Metazoa; Chordata; Actinopteri; Cypriniformes; Gastromyzontidae.
CAGAAAAUAGUUUAGUUUAGAAUUCUGGCUUUGGGAGCCAGUGGUGAGAGUUAGAAUCUCUUUUUUCUGG